Molecule: ribosomal RNA, 494 nt
Filed under: uncultured bacterium
Lineage: Bacteria
Description: bacterial SSU rRNA
Rfam family: Bacterial small subunit ribosomal RNA
Source: RNAcentral
CGGCGUGACCUAACACAUGACAAGUCGUACGAGAAAGCCGGCUUCGGCUGGUGAGUAAAGUGGCGCACGGGUGAGUAACGCGUGGAUAAUCUGCCCUUUAAGUGUGGAAUAACGUACCGAAAGGUGCGCUAAUACCGCAUAAUGCCUGGCAACACAAGUUGUCCGGCCAAAGAAGGCCUCUGUUUACAAGCUUUCGCUUCAGGAUGAGUCCGCGUACCAUUAGCUUGUUGGUGGGGUAAUGGCCUACCAAGGCUGCGAUGGUUAGCUGGUCUGAGAGGAUGAUCAGCCACACUGGAACUGAGACACGGUCCAGACUCCUACGGGAGGCAGCAGUGAGGAAUAUUGCGCAAUGGGGGCAACCCUGACGCAGCAACGCCGCGUGAGUGAGGAAGGUUUUCGGACUGUAAAGCUCUGUCGAGCGGGAAGAAGUGUACCAUGGCUAAUAUCCAUGAUAUUUGACGGUACCGCUAGAGGAAGCACCGGCUAACUCCGUG